This 1615-nucleotide long non-coding RNA is filed under the name Homo sapiens (human). RNAcentral's name for it is "HSALNT0236681". Lineage: Eukaryota; Metazoa; Chordata; Mammalia; Primates; Hominidae. The record is from RNAcentral.
CGUAAGCGUCCCGCGCCCUCGGCCCUGGCUACUGUCCUCACCGGCACCCGGUCCGGGUAUUUCUUUCGGAUCUUCUCGCCCUCAGAGCGGCGCUUCUCGAACGGAUGCUCUUCUUUGUACACGAACUUCAUCCUCCCGGGAACCGGGCUGGACAGGGCUGGGCUGAGGGAACCCAGGGGGGCCGGGACGGGGGGCGGCGACGACGGCGGCGACGCGCGGGCGGAUUCAGCGGAGCGAUCCACGAAUUUGCGCCACUUCCCUAUUCACCAACCCCGCCCCCGACUAUCGGGGACUGCCCCCCCCGCUAAGAUACGCCACUACCUCAGCGGCGCUAACGCUGCUAGCGUAGCACCACCAACUGACCGGCCCCCUCACGCCAUUAGCGUAAUCGCUUUGGAAUCAAUUUGUGGGCUACGCAGGCGACGUAGCAAAGACGGUUGGCUUUUGCUCAUCGAAAAUUACUCUAAACCUAUUCCCCAACCGUCCCCUCAAGGAAGCUGGGGCUGAAGAGGAGUAAAAGAUGGUAAUCAUCAUACGAGACUUGGUUCUCCAAGUUCCUUUCGUUAACAACGUAGAGGAACAGCAGGGACAAUUACAAGGUUAGCUAUUCACGAACCGUGUUGCUACGCUGAAGGCGGCCGUUGACACCAAAACAAAGUAGUACCCAAGUGGCGGAGAUGAUCUCCAGAAAUAAGAAGUCAAAAAGAAAACAGAUGUUUGGAGAGAUCUACAGAACGCUUAAGUGCCAAAAUGAGUAGACCAAUAGGGACUGGAGAGGAGGUUGGAAAGGUAGGGACUACGCCAGCGCGGAGGAACACUGCGGGACUUGAGUUAAAUCAUGUGAUCUCAAAGAGGGCGGAGCGUCACGUGGCGGGUGCGCGAAGUAGGGCCGGCUUGGGAGGGCGCCGGGGAGGCGGGGCCGGCUGGGCGACAGCUGGGAGGGGGACCGACGCCUUCCCGGACAGCGGAGGUCGGGGCGCCAGCCACCUGGGGGCAGCGCCCGCUUAACCUGUCCACGUCAGUGCCCCGGACGAAGCCCGGUUUCUCCAGCUCUACGCCCUUUGGCCGUCCAGGUUUCUCCUUUCGUGCUUCCAUAGCCGGUUUCUCCUUUCGUGCUUCCAUAGCCUGCUUCUCCGAAGGUGUCCUUCCACUCCCCACCAGCGCGCCCAUCCUGUCACUCGGCCCUUCCCGCCAAAGCAUCUGGUGUCAGCAUUAUUGUAUCCCAGGCAUCUGGUGUCCGCAUUAUUCUAUCCCUAUACUCAACGCCACCUUUCCCCCUGCCCCUUGAGUCCAACAGCAGUCUCUUCCCCCUCUGCCUGUGGGACAGGGUGCAUGUGAACAAAGUCCCCUCUCUUCACUUCCCAAAACCCCAGAGAAGGACCUAAGGCCGCUUUGGUUUCAAAGUUAUAAUGCAUGGUUUAAAAGAGAGAAAAGGAAAAAAGACACAAAGCUGGUUACAGGUCUGAGGGAGUCUAAGGAGAGAAAAAUAGAGGGAGAGUAAAGGGGGGACAAAUUUAGGGAAAAUCCAGUGGCCCAAAAUCCCAGUAUCCCACCCACAGCCCAGCCCUUGGAGCAGGAGUGAAGAAUUAGAUCAGUUUUGUACAAGAGUUUUUUA